Long non-coding RNA from Olea europaea var. sylvestris, 1102 nucleotides. RefSeq lists it as uncharacterized. The transcript has 2 exons. NCBI's taxonomy places the organism in Eukaryota, Viridiplantae, Streptophyta, Magnoliopsida, Lamiales, Oleaceae. The record is from RefSeq and is a predicted model, not a curated record.
UUCUUCUCCUCUUCUCCCUUCUCUCUGUUUCUCUUCCCCGUUCCUUCUUCUUUCUUUCUUAUUCAUCCUACAUCACUACUUCUUUAGAAGAAAAUCUUGGAGAAUGGUAUUUGGAUACGGGCUGUAGUAAUCACAUGUGUGGGAAGAAGGAAUUAUUCUCUCAGCUGGAUGAAACGGUAACUGGAGAAGUAAACUUUGGAAACAAAGCCAAGGUAUCAAUUAUGGGAAAAGGCAAAAUCCUGAUACAAGUAAAAGAUGGUUCAUAUGAGCAUAUUUCUGAUGUAUUUUAUGUUCCUAGUUUGGAAUGGAAUUUAUUGAGCUUAGGACAACUAUCUAAAAAGGGACUUAAAAUCACUAUUGACAAAGGAGUUUGCACUAUUAUGAAUCAGAAAAAAUGAACAUGUUGUUGAAGUUAAGAUGACUAAAAAUCGCAUGUUUCCUUUAUCAUUUCAAACUAAAAAAGUAUUUUCCUUUAUUGCUGCCAUUUUUUAUACUAAUUGGCUAUGGCAUUUGCGUUUUGGUCACUUGAACCUCAAUGGUUUAAGGUUGCUCGCAAAUAAAAAAAUGCUUACAGGGCUACCUUUAUUAUAAAACUUUAAUCGGUUGUGUUCUUGGAAAACAGCAUAGGGACUCUUUUCCAGUAGGCAAGUCUCGAAGAACAACACAACUGCUAGAACUUGUGCACUCAGAUGUUUGUGGACUAAUGGAGACUGAAUCAAAUAGAGAAACAAAGUGGUUGUUCUUUGAAGGUGCUUCGUACAGAUAGAGGGGCGGAAUACACCUCCAAUGAAUUCUCUGAUUUUUGAAAAUAUGGUGGAAUAAAGUAUCAACUUACAAUGAGCUAUACACCGCAGCAAAACGGAAUUUUUGAAAUGAAGAACAGGACAAUAGUCAAAAUGGCACGUAGUUUGUUGAAAGGAAAAAAUUACCAAAAGUAUUUUAGGCAGAGGCAGUGGCAUGUGCUGUUUAUAUUUUAAACAAGUGUCCUACAAAAAGUGUUCGUGAUAUGACACCUGGAGAGGCAUGGAGCAACCAUAAGCCCGAUGUUCAAUCUCUUCGAGUCUUUGGUUGCAUUGCAUAUGCUCUUAUACCAGUUGGAAAA